RNAcentral lists this ribosomal RNA (190 nucleotides) under uncultured bacterium. RNAcentral describes it as "partial 16S ribosomal RNA". It matches the Rfam family "Bacterial small subunit ribosomal RNA", at positions 1311 to 1500 of the family's 1533-position model. The record is from RNAcentral.
CUCGCCUGCAUGAAGUCGGAAUUGCUAGUAAUCGCAGAUCAGCAUGCUGCGGUGAAUACGUUCCCGGGCCUUGUACACACCCGCCCGUCACACCAUGGGAGUCGGUAACACCCGAAGUCGGUAGCCUAACCGUAAGGAGGGCGCCGCCGAAGGUGGGAUUGAUGAUGGGGUGAAGUCGUAACAAGGUACC